AUGCAAGUCGAGGGGAAACGGCAUCAAGCGCUUGCGCCUGAUGGACGUCGACCGGCGCACGGGUGAGUAACGCGUAUCCAACCUGCCCCACACUAAGGGAUAACCCGCAGAAAUGUGGACUAAUACCUUAUAUUUUCCACCAAGGGCAUCGUCGAUGGAACAAAGAUUUAUCGGUAUGGGAUGGGGAUGCGUCCGAUUAGGUUGUUGGCGGGGUAACGGCCCACCAAGCCUUCGAUCGGUAGGGGUUCUGAGAGGAAGGUCCCCCACAUAGGAACUGAGACACGGUCCUAACUCCUACGGGAGGCAGCAGUGAGGAAUAUUGGUCAAUGGGCGUGAGCCUGAACCAGCCAAGUAGCGUGCAGGAAGACGGCCCUAUGGGUUGUAAACUGCUUUUAUGCGGGGAUAAAGGAGUCCACGUGUGGAUUUUUGCAGGUACCGCAUGAAUAAGGACCGGCUAAUUCCGUGCCAGCAGCCGCGGUAAUACGGAAGGUCCGGGCGUUAUCCGGAUUUAUUGGGUUUAAAGGGAGCGUAGGCCGCGUUUUAAGCGUGUUGUGAAAUGUAGACGCCCAACGUCUGCAUCGCAGCGCGAACUGGGACGCUUGAGUACGCGCAACGUUGGCGGAAUUCGUCGCGUAGCGGUGAAAUGCUUAGAUAUGACGAGGAACUCCGAUUGCGAAGGCAGCUGACGGGAGCGGCACUGACGCUUAAGCUCGAAGGUGCGGGUAUCAAACAGGAUUAGAUACCCUGGUAGUCCGCACAGUAAACGAUGGAUGCCCGCUGUGUGCCAUUUAUGGUACGCGGCUAAGCGAAAGCGUUAAGCAUCCCACCUGGGG
Molecule: ribosomal RNA, 833 nt
Filed under: uncultured bacterium
Lineage: Bacteria
Description: bacterial SSU rRNA
Rfam family: Bacterial small subunit ribosomal RNA
Source: RNAcentral